Molecule: ribosomal RNA, 610 nt
Filed under: uncultured bacterium
Lineage: Bacteria
Description: bacterial SSU rRNA
Rfam family: Bacterial small subunit ribosomal RNA
Source: RNAcentral
ACUCCUACGGGAGGCAGCAGUGGGGAAUAUUGCGCAAUGGCCGAAAGGCUGACGCAGCGACGCCGCGUGGGGGAUGAAGCAUUUCGGUGUGUAAACCCCUGUUGCUCGGGACGAACAAUCGGCUUUAGCCGAUCUGACGGUACCGGGUGAGGAAGCACCGGCUAACUCCGUGCCAGCAGCCGCGGUAAUACGGAGGGUGCGAGCGUUGUCCGGAAUCACUGGGCGUAAAGGGCGCGUAGGCGGUCUGCUAAGCGUGUGGUGAAAGCUCGGGGCUCAACCCCGAGUCUGCCAUGCGAACUGGUGGACUAGAGCACUGUAGAGGCAGGUGGAAUUCCGGGUGUAGCGGUGGAAUGCGUAGAGAUCCGGAAGAACACCGGUGGCGAAGGCGGCCUGCUGGGCAGUUGCUGACGCUGAGGCGCGACAGCGUGGGGAGCAAACAGGAUUAGAUACCCUGGUAGUCCACGCCGUAAACGAUGGGCACUAGGUGCUUGGGGGAGCGACCCCCCGAGUGCCGGCGCUAACGCAUUAAGUGCCCCGCCUGGGGAGUACGACCGCAAGGUUGAAACUCAAAGGAAUUGACGGGGGCCCGCACAAGCGGUGGAGCAUGUGG